This 253-nucleotide ribosomal RNA is filed under the name uncultured bacterium. RNAcentral describes it as "partial 16S ribosomal RNA". It matches the Rfam family "Bacterial small subunit ribosomal RNA", at positions 524 to 777 of the family's 1533-position model. The record is from RNAcentral.
UACGAGGGGGCUAGCGUUGCUCGGAAUCACUGGGCGUAAAGGGUGCGUAGGCGGGUCUUUAAGUCAGGGGUGAAAUCCUGGAGCUCAACUCCAGAACUGCCUUUGAUACUGAGGAUCUUGAGUUCGGGAGAGGUGAGUGGAACUGCGAGUGUAGAGGUGAAAUUCGUAGAUAUUCGCAAGAACACCAGUGGCGAAGGCGGCUCACUGGCCCGAUACUGACGCUGAGGCACGAAAGCGUGGGGAGCAAACAGGG